Molecule: ribosomal RNA, 218 nt
Filed under: uncultured bacterium
Lineage: Bacteria
Description: partial 16S ribosomal RNA
Rfam family: Bacterial small subunit ribosomal RNA
Source: RNAcentral
CGUGAGCGACCUGCCCUAGAGAGGGGGAUAGCCGGCCCAACGGCCGGGUAAUACCGCAUACGACCAUGGCCCCGCAUGAGGCGAUGGUGAAACUCUCGAGGCUCUAGGAGGGGCUCGCGGCCUAUCAGCUAGUUGGCGAGGUAAUGGCUCACCAAGGCGACGACGGGUAGCUGGUCUGAGAGGAUGGCCAGCCACAUUGGGACUAAGAGACGGCCCAG